GGAGCAGCAGAGGUUGUUGGGUGAGCAUGUACACUGUGUGGCCACCACACUCAAAAUGACUGAGCGAGUAGAGCAAUGAAUCUGCAUCAAAGUUUGCAUUAAGCUUUAACAUUCUUUUGCAGAGACUAUUCAGAUGAUUCAGAAGGCCGCAGCUAUGGGCAACUGGUGGUUGGCAGCUUCGACAUGACAACGUGCCCACUCAUGCAUCACGUCUCCUGCAGAGUUUUUUGGUGAAACAUCAAAUCACC
This is a long non-coding RNA of Phyllostomus discolor (pale spear-nosed bat), 248 nucleotides long. RefSeq lists it as uncharacterized. Lineage: Eukaryota; Metazoa; Chordata; Mammalia; Chiroptera; Phyllostomidae. The transcript is spliced from 3 exons. The record is from RefSeq and is a predicted model, not a curated record.